GCCGGCCGUGGCCCAGCCGGUUACACGUUCCACUCGCGCUCGCAAAGCCCAGGCGGCCCUGCAGCCCUGGCAGGCUGGGAGCCGAGGGCGGGCAUCCUCAUUCCACCCAUUGGAGGAAAUUUUGGAGCUGAUCAGAAUCCGUCUGUGCCCCCUUGAGAUCCCGCUGGCUGAGAUUUAUGCUCGCGGCCAGGCCCUGCUGAUCCUCUGGCGCUGACCACAGGGGAGGAGGCAGCUCUCGUCGGUUCUCUGCAGAAGGCAGUGAGACACUCCAGAGAAUGUUUGUGGAAAGGGCGAAUGAGCACGGAAGCAGCUGGAGGGAGAGGACAGAGGGAAACCAAAAAGCCACUAGAGCAGGAAUUGUCCUAAACAACUUAAUAGCGGCUCAAGUGUCACCUUGAAAUGUGCUUUCACUAGUGACAUGGUUUGUUAGCUCCCAUAUCAUCCUCUGGCGUGGUGUUUACCUUCAGGUAAAUUCUUCAGAAAUAAUGCAGUUGAAACUUUGUGAGUUCUUGCAUGUCAUGAAAUGAGAAUGACUGUUUCCCAUUCUGAGUUGAUAGCCUUUAUAUGACACCCUUGAUGCAAAACUGUAUUUCCUCAGAAAUUUGCUGCUGCGAAGGCUGGUGCAGUUGAGUUUUAUUUCCUGUGGGUGACCUGUUCUUGCUCUCCAGAAGAUUUAGAAUAUUAUUUUAUUGUUGGUGCCCUGAAGUUUCACAAUGAUCUAUCUUGAGUCUGGGUCUUUAAAAAUGAGGACUAUAUUUAAGACAUAUGAA
RNAcentral lists this long non-coding RNA (770 nucleotides) under Canis lupus familiaris (dog). RNAcentral describes it as "lncRNA (ENSCAFG00000051509.1)". The record is from RNAcentral. Lineage: Eukaryota; Metazoa; Chordata; Mammalia; Carnivora; Canidae.